This 1050-nucleotide ribosomal RNA is filed under the name Sclerospora graminicola. RNAcentral describes it as "bacterial SSU rRNA". It matches the Rfam family "Bacterial small subunit ribosomal RNA", at positions 8 to 1139 of the family's 1533-position model. Lineage: Eukaryota; Oomycota; Peronosporomycetes; Peronosporales; Peronosporaceae. The record is from RNAcentral.
AGAGUUUGAUCCUGGCUCAGAAUAAAUGCUAUCGGUAUGCUUAACACAUGCAAGUUAAAUGUAUUUAAAACAUAGCGGACGGGUGAGUAACACGUGAAUUAUCUACCUUUUAAUUCAGAAUAAUUAUUUUUAUAAAAAUACUGAAUAAAUAAAUUAAAGUUUUUAACGUUAAAAGAUGAGUUUGCGUAAGAUUAUGGUAGUUGGUAGUUUAAAAGACCUACCAAGCCUUUUAUCUUUAGCUGGUUUGAAAGAACGAUCAGCCACAUUGGAACUGAGACACGGCCCAAACUUUUUUAAAGGCAGCAGUGGGGAAUUUUGGACAAUGAGCGAAAGCUUGAUCCAGUAAUACCGAGUGAGUGAAGAAGGCUAAUUAGGUUGUAAAGCUCUUUCAUUAAGGAGGAAAAUGACAGUACUUAAAAAAGAAGUUCCGGCUAAUACCCGUGCCAGCAGCCGCGGUAAUACGGGAGGAGCGAGCAUUAUUCGGAAUGAUUAGGCGUAAAGAGUUUGUAGGUGGUUUUUUAAGUUGAAAGAAACAAAUUAAAGCUCAACUUUAUACAUUUUUUCAAAACUGAUAAACUAGAGUAUAAAUAGAGGAUAAUGGAAUUUCUAUUGGAGUGAUAAAAUACGUUGAUAAUAGAAGGAAGGCCUAUGGCGAAGGCAAUUAUCUGGGUAUAUACUGACACUGAGAAACGAAAGCUUGGGUAGCGAACGGGAUUAGAUACCCCGGUAGUCCAUGCCGUAAACGAUGAGUGCUAAUAUUUAGAAUUUUUAGAUAUAACAGCUAACGCGUUAAGCACUCCGCCUGAAAAGUAUAAUCGCAAGAUUGAAAUUCAAAGGAAUUGACGGGAGUCUACACAAGCGGUGGAGCAUGUGGUUUAAUUCGAUAAUACGCGCAAAACCUUACCAACUCUUGCUAAUUUUUAUAUAAAAUUUUAUAUAAAAAACAGGUGUUGCAUGGCUGUCGUCAGCUCGUGUUGUGAAAUGUUUGGUUAAAUCCUUUAACGAGCGCAACCCCUAUUGUUAGUUGCCAAUUUAUUAAAAUAAAAUAAA